GACUGCUAUGGUGGCCUAGUGGUUAGAGCAUCCACCUCAGAUGUAGGAGGUUGAGGGUUUGAACCCCAGCCAAGUCA
This is a non-coding RNA of Potamilus streckersoni, 77 nucleotides long. The record is from the annotation of a GenBank genome assembly. Lineage: Eukaryota; Metazoa; Mollusca; Bivalvia; Unionida; Unionidae.